AUUGAACGCUGGCGGCAUGCCUUACACAUGCAAGUCGAACGGUAACGCGGGGCAACCUGGCGACGAGUGGCGAACGGGUGAGUAAUGCAUCGGAACGUGCCCAGUAGUGGGGGAUAGCCCGGCGAAAGCCGGAUUAAUACCGCAUACGACCUACGGGUGAAAGGGGGGAUCGCAGGACCUCUCGCUAUUGGAGCGGCCGAUGUCAGAUUAGGUAGUUGGUGGGGUAAAUGCCCACCAAGCCUUCGAUCUGUAGGUGGUCUGAGAGGACGACCAGCCACAGUGGGACGGAGAGACGGCCCAGACGCCUACGGGAGGCAGCAGUGGGGAAUUUUGGACAAUGGGCGCAAGCCUGAUCCAGCCAUGCCGCGUGCGGGAAGAAGGCCUUCGGGUUGUAAACCGCUUUUGUCAGGGAAGAAACGCUCUGGGCUAAUACCUCGGGGUAAUGACGGUACCUGAAGAAUAAGCACCGGCUAACUACGUGCCAGCAGCCGCCGUAA
RNAcentral lists this ribosomal RNA (497 nucleotides) under uncultured bacterium. RNAcentral describes it as "partial 16S ribosomal RNA". It matches the Rfam family "Bacterial small subunit ribosomal RNA", at positions 29 to 523 of the family's 1533-position model. The record is from RNAcentral.